This is a non-coding RNA of Thamnophis sirtalis, 970 nucleotides long. NCBI's taxonomy places the organism in Eukaryota, Metazoa, Chordata, Lepidosauria, Squamata, Natricidae. The record is from RefSeq and is a predicted model, not a curated record.
GAGUCCCGCAGGCUGGGCGCCCCCUUGGCGGGUUUUCCUGGCUGCGCGGAUUGAGCUGUGCGGGCCGGCGUGGAUGGUAGUCCGUGGAUCGGGGCCUGCCCUGCCGCUUCUGUCCGGGACCUCAGCCGCUAUAACCCGAACUUUCCCCACAGGAGGGCGCUGAGCGCGCCGGGCAUCUCCUGGCCAUGCUGGCGACGUGAAGGUCGGAUAUUUAGUGGAGCGAUCCCAUGGCCUCCGGGGCCGGCUGAACGCAGGAGCUGCCGUGGAGCUGCCGUCGCCGGGAGGGAGCGAAUUCGAUGCUCUGGAAGGGCCGGUACCCAGAAGGAGGCGCUUCACGGCCCGGAUUCUCGGAGCAUGGUCCCCGGAGAGCCGCGCGCAGCAGAAGGCGCCCGAUCUGUCGAGACGGAGCGCACGUACAUCAAAAUCCAAGUGGAACUUGAGGCAUCUUAUUGGUAAACUGCUGUGAAGUCACUCAGAAAUAGCCAUUCAGACUGCAGUUGACAAUUUCAGAUCUUGGAUACUUGCCAUAAUGCAGAUAAAUGAAAUUAAGGCCUAGCAGCUUUACCAUAAUACUAGAAGAAGGUACAGCUUUCCCACUCAAAGAAAAGGAAAAGUGUCAUUAUCCAAAACAUCUGAACUUAUUGCUGGAAGCUGAUGACUUCUGUAUGGAUUUGCAAGAUGUGGAAGCAGAUGUCAGCAAUGUAUUCAUUUUUGUGUGGCUGGGAUUGAAAACAAACAAAACUUUUUUUUAAUCAUUUCUGAAUGGCAGAUAAAAGACACCUGAUUGUGGCCCUACAUGAAAGCUGAAAGAGGAAAAAUUAAAUUGACCAUAUUUACUGGGUGUUUCUGAAAAUAUGUUGCUUUCCUUGCAUAGUCCUUGGCAGAUUCCAAGAAAGACCAAAACAAUUUAAAAAGGGUAGGAGUGUUGUUCUUCAGAAAGUGGCUUUAUCUGUCUUCUUCUUCUUGUGCC